GGGGUUGUGGCUCAGUGAUAGAGCACUUGCCUUGCAUGCGAGAGGCUCUGGGUUUGAUCCUCAGCACUACA
RNAcentral lists this transfer RNA (71 nucleotides) under Marmota monax (woodchuck). RNAcentral's name for it is "tRNA.Ala". The stretch from base 6 to 66 matches the Rfam family "tRNA", at positions 6 to 65 of the family's 71-position model. From Rfam's summary of the family: Transfer RNA (tRNA) molecules are approximately 80 nucleotides in length. Their secondary structure includes four short double-helical elements and three loops (D, anti-codon, and T loops). The record is from RNAcentral. Lineage: Eukaryota; Metazoa; Chordata; Mammalia; Rodentia; Sciuridae.